This 497-nucleotide ribosomal RNA is filed under the name uncultured bacterium. Its description in RNAcentral is "partial 16S ribosomal RNA". It matches the Rfam family "Bacterial small subunit ribosomal RNA", at positions 28 to 507 of the family's 1533-position model. The record is from RNAcentral.
GAUGAACGCUGGCGGCGUGCCUAAUACAUGCAAGUCGAGCGAACAGAUGAGGAGCUUGCUCCUCUGACGUUAGCGGCGGACGGGUGAGUAACACGUGGAUAACCUACCUAUAAGACUGGGAUAACUUCGGGAAACCGGAGCUAAUACCGGAUAAUAUAUUGAACCGCAUGGUUCAAUAGUGAAAGACGGUUUUGCUGUCACUUAUAGAUGGAUCCGCGCCGCAUUAGCUAGUUGGUAAGGUAACGGCUUACCAAGGCAACGAUGCGUAGCCGACCUGAGAGGGUGAUCGGCCACACUGGAACUGAGACACGGUCCAGACUCCUACGGGAGGCAGCAGUAGGGAAUCUUCCGCAAUGGGCGAAAGCUUGACGGAGCAACGCCGCGUGAGUGAUGAAGGUCUUCGGACCGUAAAACUCUGUUAUUAGGGAAGAACAAAUGUGUAAGUAACUAUGCACGUCUUGACGGUACCUAAUCAGAAAGCCACGGCUAACUACGUG